GUUUCAUCCUCCGAUUCUGGAACCAGAUCUUCACCUGAGUGUCAUUGAGGCCCAGGGAUUUGGCGAUCUCCACGCGCCGGGCCCGGAUCUUAAAACCCUUUUCCAUUGAAUGGAAGAAAAGUACCGUCAACAUCAGCAGAACUUGUCUCCAGAAUGGAAGAUUGCACAGGUACUUGGGAGUAAGCCCCACGAAGUUCAGUGGGGCUCACUUCCGAGUUAACCAGCGCAGAACCAGGAGGGAGGGGCGCGAGGUGGGACGUGUCGGUUUCAGACUCAGAACCCAGGACCCAAGGAUGACAACUUGAAUAAAAUAUUGGGGGCCCAAGUAAGCCCUGCCCCGCGUAAUAGAUCACAAAACGCGGCGCGCAUACACCAUUUUAAUAGCAAUGCUCAUUAACUUUGGGGGGCGAAGGGACUCUUAAGAGUUGCCUCCUACGCUAGGACCCGAGUAUUGGACAGCCCACAGCUCACUUGGCGCGCCCAAGGCGCGACACUUACUUUUCGGGGGCGCGUUCCUCUUGACUUUCAUCCACUCGAACGUGCUGAGCGCGAUCCGGGAGCCGGCCUUGACGCAGAAGUCCGAGGAAGGGGGCGGCGGGGGCGGCGCAUCCUUGGCGCAAGGCUGGAAGGUGUCGCUGAGCGCGCCGUAGUCCACUUGGAGGUAAGGGCUGCCGCCGCCGCCGCCACCACCCGCAAAGAUAGACGUGGUGGCGUAGUGGAGGGGAGCGCCGGCCUCGUCUGGGCCGCCGGGGGCCGCGUAAGGCGCCUCGGGCCGCAGCAAGCUGUACUCUGCCGCCGCAAAAGCGCUGCGCGCCAGGGCGCAAGGCGCCAGCUGUUGCUGCGGUUGCGCCGAGCGCGGGGAGAAGUCCGGCAAGCUUCCUGCCGCCGGCGUGGGGUAGGCGCCUUCCCCGCCUGCGGACAGGGGACAGGGCGGCCGCAGAGCCACGCCACCGGGCUCGGAGCUCCCGAAUUUGGUCGCCAAGCUCAAACCAUCUCCGCCCCGCGCGAGAUACUCCAGGAAGGAGUUCAUGGCGGGUCCCUGAGCAAGCGGAGAGCGCGCCGGAGAAGGGGCAGCAGGGCGACUACGAUGUAAUCACGGCGCCCGCUGCGCUCUCUGGACCACCUCCUCCUCCCUCAACCAUGGUAAAGCCGGCUGGGAGGGUAAAUAAGUGCCCUAAUAUAGAGCCAGGGGAGCUGGCACGUGCUCGCCUGCUGGCCAAUGGGAGCCGCGAGUUAGGCACGCGACCUGGGAUGCAGCCGGCCCGUCCCGGGCAUCACCAGCCACAACUUUGCCAACGGAGAAGAUGAUGCAGGAAGCAGCAGCAGCGGUGUGGGCGGGGGCGCAGGGAGGUGCCUAGUCAUGCCUAAGCCUCCGAGGAGGGUUAGGGACCCAGAGAGAGAGAGAGAUCCCGGAACCAACUCUUAGAGGCUGAGGUCCCUUCGUGUCCGCCCGCCCACUAAAACAGUUGAGGGGACCGGGCCCCCAAAGUUGAUGGGCAUUGCCAUUCAGGUGCGUGCGCCCCAUGAUGAACGCCGUGAUUAUGUAGGGCGGGGCUUACCGGACCCACCCCCUCAAUAUUUCAUUCCAGUUGGCACCGCUGCCCCAGCUACACACACACAUCUUUUGACACUGUUCUCAGGGAGUCCUCUAUGAUGAGCGAAAGGCUGAAUAGUUUGUUUUGUGCCACCUCUGGCUUCGCUUCCCAAAGAGCGGAUAACAAAUAACCUCAGCUCGGGGUUCCUCGACCUCCAGGCUGACGAGGCUACAGUCUUCUUUACGCGCACCGACUUGGGAGUCAACCUGAACUUCUUGGAACUGCUUUCCUCAACUGCGCCGAGCCAUUUCUCCAGCAAUUGCUUCCUCACUCCAGUUUGGGGCGGGGAGCUCCAAACCUUGGCGCGCUCCAGCACUGCUGCCGCCUUCCAUCCUGCCCUGCCCUGCCCCAAAGACGUGUAAGCUCUCGUCCUGCCAGGCUGGACAUUAAGACGGGACUCGAGGUUCUUCCGGAACAUAAUAUGGCAGGUGCUUCCACGCUGCAGCUGCUGUAGUUCAAAGGGGAGUGGGGUGGGCGAAGUUCUCCACUCAGUCUAAAGUCCUCGGUCCUCUCUGUCUUGAUGUGAACGGCAGCACUGUGGUUUCCAGUGAAACUAAGUUAUUGGAGUGAGGGUGGUUCGCUGCAACCUUUUCCUUCUGUCUUUGCUCCAAGAACUGAAGCACAUCAUCUCCCCCCCCCCCCGCGUGCGCUUUCGAAUGAGUCUUUGAGCUAGGCUAAAAAGCAUCCGGAAGCCAAAACAGACCAGGAUGGUGUCAACAAUGCGCGCUACUGUACGGAGCAGCUAUUAAUGGUCCUCGGGCAGCCAGAAGCUGAUAUACUCUGAAGAAGGAAUGAUGAAGCACGUGGAUUAAAUUUUUAAAAGAAACAGAAAAGGGGGAGGACAAAUGGUUCACCAAAUGGUCAGCAAGCCCUACUCUGAGGGCCAUUUGUUCAGAUUUUCUCUGGAGUGAUAAAGCAAGGCCUCAGUAAGGCACACAUACGUAGGAACUUCUAAAAAUAUCCUAUAUGGUUUGAAGGAAGAGGAAGUAUGUGUCCUUUGACACAACUGAUGUAGAAUAAUAGAAUUCAGCCACACGGAUGCUACUAGCCCAGAGAUGAAAGGGCAAAUCAAGUUGA
Long non-coding RNA from Podarcis muralis (Common wall lizard), 2672 nucleotides. RefSeq lists it as uncharacterized. The record is from RefSeq and is a predicted model, not a curated record. Lineage: Eukaryota; Metazoa; Chordata; Lepidosauria; Squamata; Lacertidae.